UGCCAGCAGCCGCGGUAAUACGGAGGGUGCAAGCGUUAAUCGGAAUUACUGGGCGUAAAGUGCGCGUAGGCGGUUUAGUAAGUCGGAUGUGAAAGCCCAGGGCUCAACCCUGGAAUUGCAUUCGAUACUGCAGAGCUAGAGUAUGGUAGAGGGAAGUGGAAUUUCCGGUGUAGCGGUGAAAUGCGUAGAUAUCGGAAGGAACACCGGUGGCGAAGGCGACUUCCUGGGCCAAUACUGACGCUGAGGCGCGAAAGCGUGGGUAGCAAACAGGAUUAGAUA
RNAcentral lists this ribosomal RNA (279 nucleotides) under uncultured bacterium. Its description in RNAcentral is "partial 16S ribosomal RNA". It matches the Rfam family "Bacterial small subunit ribosomal RNA", at positions 506 to 784 of the family's 1533-position model. The record is from RNAcentral.